RNAcentral lists this small RNA (1075 nucleotides) under Pongo abelii (Sumatran orangutan). RNAcentral describes it as "retained intron". Lineage: Eukaryota; Metazoa; Chordata; Mammalia; Primates; Hominidae. The record is from RNAcentral.
CUGGAGUACCGGUUCUACAAGCAGCUCAGCGCCACAGAGGGCGUCCCUCAGGUCUACUACUUCGGCCCGUGCGGGAAGUACAACGCCAUGGUGCUGGAGCUGCUGGGGCCCAGCCUGGAGGACCUGUUCGACCUGUGCGACCGGACCUUCACGCUCAAGACGGUGCUGAUGAUCGCCAUCCAGCUGAUCACGCGCAUGGAGUAUGUGCACACCAAGAGCCUCAUCUACCGGGACGUGAAGCCCGAGAACUUCCUGGUGGGCCGCCCGGGGACCAAGCGGCAGCACGCCAUCCACAUCAUCGACUUCGGGCUGGCCAAGGAGUACAUCGACCCCGAGACCAAGAAGCACAUCCCGUACCGCGAGCACAAGAGCCUGACGGGCACGGCGCGCUACAUGAGCAUCAACACGCACCUGGGCAAGGGUGAGCUGCGCGCGCGCGGCGGGGGGCGGGCGCCCGGACCCCGCUGAGGCUGCGCCCCUGUCCCCGCAGAGCAGAGCCGCCGCGACGACCUGGAGGCGCUGGGCCACAUGUUCAUGUACUUCCUGCGCGGCAGCCUCCCCUGGCAGGGGCUCAAGGUGGGCGAGGGGGCCGGGCAGGCGGGCAGGGGCGCAGGGCGGGAGCAAGGCUGACCACGGACCCCCGCAGGCCGACACGCUCAAGGAGCGGUACCAGAAGAUCGGGGACACCAAGCGCGCCACGCCCAUCGAGGUGCUCUGUGAGAACUUCCCAGAGGAGAUGGCCACGUACCUCCGCUACGUGCGGCGCCUGGACUUCUUCGAGAAGCCCGACUAUGACUACCUGCGGAAGCUCUUCACCGAUCUCUUCGACCGCAGCGGCUUCGUGUUCGACUAUGAGUACGACUGGGCCGGGAAGCCCCUGCCGACCCCCAUCGGCACCGUCCACACCGACCUGCCCUCCCAGCCUCAGCUCCGGGACAAAGCCCAGCCGCACAGCAAAAACCAGGUGAGGCCCGGGCGGGACCGACGCCCCAGGGAGGGGCAUGGGCGGCCAGCGUGACCCCCUACUGCCCCCGCCAGGCGCUGAACUCCACCAACGGGGAGCUGAAUGCGGACG